This 471-nucleotide long non-coding RNA is filed under the name Ananas comosus (pineapple). RNAcentral describes it as "long non-coding RNA (ACOM_LNC007813)". Lineage: Eukaryota; Viridiplantae; Streptophyta; Magnoliopsida; Poales; Bromeliaceae. The record is from RNAcentral.
AGAUUUUGAGCAAGAAUUUAAGUACCGUGAUACGAAAUCGUGUCGAAAAUUUACUGGCACGAUUCGUGCCGGUCAUAAAAAAUUUAUACGGACCGACACAUAAUAACAUGAAAUAUUAAUUUCCUUUUAGCAAUAAAAUAUUUCAAUUGUUUAUUAAGUAUUUUUAUCAAAUCUUUUUUUUUUUUUUUUGAGAGAGAUAGGUAGCACGCUACCCGCUUCGUUUAUUUUAUUUAGAAAAUAAACUUAGCUAGAAAUGUGAAUCAACUAGGAUUCGAACCUGGUUCGCGGGUACCAACCACCAAGCGCUUUGCCACUUGCUCUAAGGACGGUCAGUUUUUAUCAAAUCUUAGUCAUCGACACGGAGGCUAUAUCGUGCCGAUAUCUUGUUAGCACAAUAUGACACAAUAGAUACGGUCCGUGCAGAGGAGCACUGAAAUUUUUAAUUUUGAGUUUAAUUUUCACACCAGAGAU